GGGCAGCCACCCCUGAGGUUAUGGUGUUGGGCUUGUCCGUGUGAGAAGCACCAAGGGACACAGAGGGGUUGGAGGGAUCCCACAAACCCCUCCAGGUCCUCUGAAAAGCAGGAUUUGAUAUCUCCAGGUGUCAACAUUGCUGCUCUUUCUCACUCUCCAAACCCACUAGCUGUCCUGCCUUUAUUAGGGAAGUGUGGGUUUAAUUACGUGUCUUUAUGCCCAUUUUUCAGGCCGUGGUUGACAAAUCAUCGUGUGUGGCUGACCCAGCCAAGCUCCACCUCUCUCCAUCGCUGUGUUUUCCAUGGGAGCACAUCUGUUCUGGCUGCUCCACCUAUUUUUGAAGGCCAGCAGAGCUUGGAAUGUCCCCUGAGGUUUGCCUGGAGUGCAGGUGCUGCAGGAAUUUUGCUUCCACAAAGCUCAAGCAGAGCAGGAGACAAAAAGGAGUGGUUUUGGGUGAGAUCUGUGCCCUGAACAAAGGAUCCACUGGAGGCUGCUGAGGUCAGUGGUGGGGCUUU
RNAcentral lists this long non-coding RNA (515 nucleotides) under Cyanistes caeruleus (blue tit). RNAcentral describes it as "lncRNA (ENSCCEG00000007423.1)". The record is from RNAcentral. Lineage: Eukaryota; Metazoa; Chordata; Aves; Passeriformes; Paridae.